UUUUAGAAUACGCUACAAAGACAAUUGGAACACCCUGGAUGACUAUUAUAAAAAUCAUCAACUUUAAUUUCUUUAAACCCAACAUUAAACUCGAUUACUUCUUUGAAGACUUAACGAAGCCCUUCUCUUCGAGAAUCUCUCCCUCUUCCACAUUAUCAUUGAUAGGUUUACCAUCACUAAUAGGGAAUGAACUAGGAGGAGCACUAUUUUUAUCACAUUGUUGAAUGUCCUCUUCGUGAUUUUAUAAUUGUUCAAAGGCUUGCAAAGACUUGUUGAGAUUUGGGGAACAAGCUGUC
Molecule: long non-coding RNA, 296 nt
Filed under: Carica papaya (papaya)
Lineage: Eukaryota; Viridiplantae; Streptophyta; Magnoliopsida; Brassicales; Caricaceae
Description: long non-coding RNA (CPAP_LNC006824)
Source: RNAcentral